CUCUGGGUGAAGGAAUUAGUUCAGGGGCGGAGGCUUUAGCGGCCCACCGAUACCUCAUCAGCCACAAGACGGGAUGCCCCACUACGCCAACAGAGACGUGGGCUCCCCCAUCCCAGACAAGUCAACAUUGAAUCUCAAACUCUCCUUUCUGCCUCCAGGCCCCGUCUGACCCCAUUGGCAGCAGUUCCCGCCAAUCCGCUCGGUCACCGCCCCCCAAGCCCGCCUGCCCAACCCUGAUUGGAUGGGACGGGAGCCGGGACCUCGUGUUACCAAUCUGGGAGCCCCUUACUCAGCCACACACGCAAGCCCAGUUCAACUUCUUUAUAUUACAAGAUGAGGACCUGAGACACAACUGGAGGAACUAUCCAGUGUCCCAGCAUUCAGUGGUUGUUUACAUUUUAAAUGUAUCAUAAACAUCAUAUAGUUGGCUUUUUUUAAUUUAAUAAUCAUAUUUUCUUUUCAUUGAAGCAA
This is a long non-coding RNA of Felis catus (domestic cat), 471 nucleotides long. RefSeq lists it as uncharacterized. The transcript has 2 exons. Lineage: Eukaryota; Metazoa; Chordata; Mammalia; Carnivora; Felidae. The record is from RefSeq and is a predicted model, not a curated record.